AUUGAACGCUGGCGGCGUGCUUAACACAUGCAAGUCGAUCGGUAACAGGUGUAGCAAUACAUGCUGACGAGAGGCGGACGGGUGAGUAAUGCUUGGGAAUCUGCCUAUUAGUGGGGGACAACCCGGGGAAACUCGGGCUAAUACCGCAUACGCUCUACGGAGGAAAGCCGGGGACCGCAAGGCCUGGCGCUAAUAGAUGAGCCCAAGUCGGAUUAGCUAGUUGGUAGGGAACGGCCUACCAAGGCGACAAUCCGUAGCUGGUCUGAGAGGACGACCAGCCACACCGGAACUGAGACACGGUCCGGACUCCUACGGGAGGCAGCAGUGGGGAAUAUUGGACAAUGGGGGCAACCCUGAUCCAGCGACGCCGCGUGGGUGAAGAAGG
This 385-nucleotide ribosomal RNA is filed under the name uncultured bacterium. RNAcentral describes it as "bacterial SSU rRNA". It matches the Rfam family "Bacterial small subunit ribosomal RNA", at positions 29 to 414 of the family's 1533-position model. The record is from RNAcentral.